ACGUCGCAGACGACGGCGGAGGAGAAGCAGCUGAAACGGCCGAAUCGCUGCACGACGUGCAGGAAACGGGUCGGGUUAACCGGGUUUAAGUGCCGGUGCGGGACGACUUUCUGCGGUGUCCACAGGUACCCGGAGGUCCACGGAUGCACCUUCGACUUCAAAUCGGCCGGUCGUGAAGAGAUCGCGAAGGCGAACCCGUUGGUCAAAGCGGCGAAGCUUCAGAAGAUUUGAUCUGGGCCGUUCGAUGCGUUGACUUUUCUGUCUUCUUGAAAACGCGUCCGUCUCGGAGUAAUCAGGAUGGUGUGAGAUUGAUCUCAGCCGUUCAUCAUGGGUCAUUAUGUAAAAGAUAUGUAUUAUCAAUGGACACGUGUCACGUGACGCUUCCAUCUUCCCAAUUAAUUUUCUUUUCCCUAUAAAGAAAUAAGAUUAUUCGCGUUGGCUUUUCUUCUCCGGUGAACUAAAUUAUGUGGCUUUUGCGUGAAACAGAGUUAAGUUUUUUUUUUUUUUUGGUCAUCUAAGAUUUGUAUUAACUAUUAAGAGUUCGGGUUACAAGACAGGUCCUUCUAUACAGUGAAGACUUAACCCAAAUAAUACAAGAUCAAGGAAUAUAACCAGUCCCGAUCGUAUACCAACCCCAAAAAUAUGUAAAUAAAGGAAGAACCAUUCUCAGAUGCCAAGCUGAUAUUCAGACAAACAUACUUACAAUUAAUAAUUUUGAAACUAAAAGCUGAUAAUCUUACAAAGCGUAAAAAGGCAUGGCAUAUAGGUUCUUAUGUUAGUGCUAUAUGGAAGUGUAAUAUAUUAAACACGCGAAUUUUGAUUCCACCUUGAAUAUUGGAUAGUAUAGAAAGUUAUCACCAGUGAAAAGAAAAAAUUAUACGUUUAACAAUCAAAUUUCCAAUACAAUCUUUAAGAGUAUAGAAUAUGUUAAUAGAUUAUUUAUCUUUAAACAAAAUGUAUGAUUAAUAGUUUAUGUAUCUUAAUAGUUCUUUCACAAAAUGUGUUUGAGAUAUUUGUCAUUUGUGUUCUUUUUAGAGUUAUUCUUGUGAGGUUCACCAACCAAUAGAAUUUCAUUAUUUCAAAUUUGAUAUCUUUUAGAAAAAGAAACAAAAUAUUGUCAAAAUAUAUUAUAUUUUAAAAAUAAAAAAGGUUAAAAAAUAAAAUAAAAAAUAAUAGUUAGAGAAAAACGAAUUAAAAAAAAUAAUAUUUUUAUCGUCGUCAACAAAACACUAAACCCUAAAUCCUAAUCCCUAAACCCUAAACCCUAAACCCUAUAAACCCUUGGGCAAAUUUUAAACCCUUAGAUAAUUCAUACUCUAAAUCAAAAACACUAAAUCCUAAAACCCUAAACCCUAAACCCUUGAGUGUUUAGUGUUUUUAAUUUGGAGUUUAAGAUUUAUCCAAGGGUUUAGGGUUUACCUAAGGGUUUAGGAUUUAGAGUUUAGGGAUUAGGGAUUAGGAUUUAGGGUUUAGUAUUUUGCUGAGGACGUUAAAAAUAUAUUUUUUUAAUUACUACUUUUUUAAAUUUAUUUAUUUUUACCUUUUUAUUUUAAAAAUAUAAUAUAACUUGUAGCUUGAGAAAAUAUUUUGUUUCUUUUUUUAAAAGAUUUCAAAUAUGAAAUAACACAAUUCUAUUGGUUGGUGAACCUAGAGGUUCACCCUAGGGGGUGAACCCAAGAAUAAGUCUUCUUUUUAUAUAUGUAAGGAUUAUGGUUUUGAGUUUUGCACAUCUAAUCGGACAAUGAUCUAUAACAGACCAAAAAGACAAAAAGAAGUCUACAUAGACCAAUUGUGAUCUAUCAUGGACCAAGGGCUGGUAAAUUACCAAUUUGCCAUUAAUGAAAGUGGCAUGUGAACCAUUGGAUCAAAUAAUGGAAACUCUAAUCUCGGUCGUCCAAUUUUCUUCUUCCUUUCUCUUUCUCUCGCCUGGGUCCCACCCAAAAUCCAUAUUAACUCCCUCACAUCUUCAUCUUCUUCAUUACUCAACCACCCACGAAAAUUCAUUUCAAUCACCAACCAAAGUUCUCUUCUUCAAGUUUUUAUCCACAAACCUUUAAUUCUGUUUCUUAGGGUUCUUCUACAGCUUUUCUCGUCCUUGAAACAGCAAAUGUGCCUCGUCCUUGGUCUUGAAAUCGCUUGGUAAGUGUAUACUCUCUCCCUCUCCUUCUCUCUCACUCUUCUCUUCUUUUUUAUUUGUUUUCUGUUUAGUUUUAGUCCCAUAAUAUGUAUGUUACCAUUAUGAGUCAGGUUCCAUGGUUUAAGAUAACGUUCUUAUAGUAUGAAUCAUGAUAUUGUAGAUUAAAUCAUUUUUUACAUUGGUUACACUGGUACAACAGACGUUGAGUACACCUGGUAAACCUGGUAAAACUCGUUAAGAAUAACACUAGUACAACUAGUAAACCUGGUACAACUCUAAGUAACACUGAAUAAGACUAUGGGUAAAACUUGUAUAACUCUUAGUAGUCCUUUGACAAGUCAAAUACUAGUAUAACUAGUAUAACUUAUAAACGACUGUUACAUGUAAACCAGUAUAACUGGUAAUACUAGUAUAACCCGUAUUUUAGCGACUUUAGAACUCGUAUAACUGAUAUAACUUGUAAGCUGUAAUGUUGGUUUUAACUCUUUUCAGGAACUAUGGAUGGUACUGGAGCUGUGGUGAUACAUUUUGAUCAUGGUGGAGACAAAAAUAUUUAUACAUUAGUAAUGAGAGGAAAAUAUGAGGAGAUAACCUAUUCUCGCUUGGUUGAUAGAAUAGGCAAGAAAAUGAAUAUCGAUGUAGCUGCGACGAAGCUUCAACUGAGCUACUAUCCCCUGGUCGUGGAUAAUAAGAGGCCUUGUUAUAUUUUGGAUGAUGAAGAUGUUUUAGGAUAUUUAAUGGAGGUGGAUAGGAAAAACCGGCGUAGUGUUUUGCAUGUGGAGUUUUCCGAAAAUAUCUCAGAAAAUCAGAGUAACGAGCAGUUUUCUAUGAACGAGGAAAUUCAGAUUGAUGCCAGAGCUAAUGAUGGUAUGGCUGGAGUUGAGGAGUUGGCAAUUGUUCCUCAAAACCAAUCAGAUGGGUAUAAUCAUGAGGAGUUAGCAAUUGUUCCUCCAAGACAAUCAGAUAGGUAUGAGCAUGAGGAUUGCAAUGAAGAGGGUGAUGAAAUGAAUGAUAGGGAGGAGUUGCCGGCUGUUACACCAUCUGUAGACACAAUUGUCAAUGCUGAGUGGGAUGAUGGUAUUGAUAUGAGUUUGUAUCAAGAAUUUGCGACUAAGGAAGAGCUGAGGAAUUUAGUGGACGCAGGAGUGCAUUCGAAUUGUUUUGAGGUUGAUAUAAUCAAGACGAAUCGUACUGUUUAUGUAUUGAAAUGUCGUGGGGUUGGAUGCAGAUGGUAUUUACGAGCUGCAAGGCUGAAAAACUCAGCCUUUUUCAGUGUCAGAACGUAUAGAAAGAUGCAUACGUGUACUCGGGGAGAGGGAAGUGUAACCAAGAGGGGGAAAAGAGGAACACCAAGCUUGGUCGCAGGAGUGGUGCAUGAAGAUUAUCCAGGCCAAUACAAGACUCCAGAUCCAAAGUCUCUCAUAAAGUUGGUGAAGAACAAACUAGGUGUCACGGUUUCAUAUUCUACAGCUUUGAGAGGGAAACACAAAGCUGUCAGUGAUUUGCGUGGUAACCCUCAGGAGAGUUUUGCUAGACUUCCAUCUUACUUGUACAUGUUAGAAAGAAUGAAUCCUGGUACCAUCACAAGAUUAGUAGUGGAUGAGAAGAAGCAGUUUAAGUAUAUGUUCUUUGCGCUUAAAGCUUGCAUCGAAGGGUUUCAAGCAAUGAGGAAAGUGAUAAUAAUGGAUGGAACUCACCUGAAGGGUGUGUAUGGAGGAGUGCUUCUCAUUGCCACUGCUCAGGAUCCAGAUCAUCAUCAUUAUCCCCUCGCUUUUGCGGUAGUAGAUGGUGAGAAAAAUGCGAGCUGGGAGUGGUUUUUGACUAUACUGAAAACUUUGAUACCAGAUGAUCCUCAGCUUGUUUUUUGUACUGAUAGAAACCAAUGCAUCAUCAAGAAGGUGCACGAGGUGUACCCAAUGGCGAUCCAUGGAUAUUGCAUUUUUCACUUGUCUAAUAAUGUUGCCGGAGCAUGCAGCAAAGUUAACAAGAAAGGGGUUGCCAGAAAGUUUAGAAAAAUUGCUGGUAUGUACACAGAGGUCGAGUUCAGAAAAAGCUACAAUGAUUUCAGGAGAACGUUGCCUCAAGCCGCUGAGUAUCUAGAUGAGAGUGUUCAUGAGACCAAAUGGGCAAGAUGUCAAUUUCCGGGAGAAAGGUACAACAUAGAUACAACCAACACUGUUGAAUCAAUCAAUGGUGUUUUAAAGGAACCAAGGAAAUAUGCAUUGUUGCCAAUGCUUGAUGUGAUCAUUGGGAAGAUGGUAGAAUGGUUUAACAAAUAUCGUGAUUUAUCUUUACGCGUUCCAGAGAGACAGAUACUAAUUCCCUACGUGCAUGGGAUAUUGCAUCACAGUUAUCCGAAGGCAAAAAAGCUCACGGUGAUGGAGCUAAACAGAUUUGAACGUCAGUACACUGUGAUUGGCAAAGAUGGUCAAGGUUAUUAUGUUGAUUUAGGCAACGGAACAUGCCAGUGCAAGUGUUUUGAUAUUGAUCGGUAUCCUUGUGUGCAUGCACAGGCUGCGAUCAUCGCGCGUGGAGAAAUGUCUGAAGACUAUUGUUCUAAGUAUUAUUAUAUGGAGCAGUGGACUUUGGCAUAUUACAAGACAAUAUAUCCAGUGCCUCAUCAUUCAUUAUGGGAAAGUUAUGAAAUUCCAGAUGAAAUCCUAUCUCAGGUUGUCUACCCUCCGCAUGUGGAAAGAAAGAAAGGAAGACUACAAGAAACUAGAUUUCCAUCAGCUGGGGAAUAUCGGAGGAAGAAAAAGAAGAAGUAUCCACCAUUGGUGUGUGAGAAUGAUGGAAUUGACAGCGAUGAAAGUGGAAGCGAUGGAAUUGAUGAAUGAGUCUUACUUAUGUGUUAUGGAACUUGCUUAUGUCUUGUGAGUCUUACUUAUGUGUUAUGGAACUUGCUUAGUCUUGUGAGUCUUACUUAUGUGUUAUGAAACUUAUUUAUGUGUUGUAGAACUUAUUUAUGUAAUGUGUUGUUUCUGUCAGGUACAACAGGUACAAUUGGUAAAACUUCAUUAAACCUAACAUUCAUGUUUUUGUGUUGUUAUACUGGUACAACUAGUAAAACUAAAAAUAAGUUAUACUGGAAUAACUAGUUCAACUAUGUCUAGUUUACUAAAAUAGGUUCUACUGGAAUAACUAGUACAACUAUGGAGGAUCUGAAAUUUAAAUAUUAUUUUAGGUUUUUUCAUAUUAAUAAAACAUUCAAAUGGUCUAAUUUUAAGUGUUUGGAUAGGUUUCUUUGUGUUUUGUAUUGUUUUUUUUUUUUUUCUGGAUUUCUACCUCCAUCACAAAAGUUUGCUUGAUCUACCUUAUACUUUUAAGGUUUGUUAACAUAUUUGUCCACAUAUUUUUUGAAAAACAUACAUGACAAGUAUUUUCACAAUAGUGAUGAUUUCAUUGUAUCCGGGCAAACACAUGUUAACAUAAAUGAGUGGUACAACUUAGAUAAUGGUAUUUCUCUUUGGUACAACUAAUAUAUUCAGGUUUCACUGCCAAAGUACAACUCUGUACAAACUAGUAUAACUAAUAAACUAGUACAACUUUGUGCAAGCCAGUAUAACUAAUAAAUUAGUACAACUUUGUAGAAACCAGUACAACUAAAAAACUAAAACAACUUUGUGUGCAUAAUGAGUUUCAAAUAAGUGGAUUCCCAGAUAAGUCCUACACUUUUUAAUUUAACACUAGGUGUACUAGUUUUUCUAGUUAUACUACUUUCAUAUUUUUUGGCAUAGUUGAUGCUGUAAUGUUGUUUUACUUCCCACCUGUAAUUGCAACCUGUUCAACCACCAAGUUUGGUUUUAGGUUUUAAAACACACACACAUACAAGUUUUAGGUUUUAAAACACACACACAUACAAGUUCAUCCGUUUUAGGUUUUAAAACAAACACAUACAAGUUCCAAAAACAACAACAUAGUUCAGCCAAAUCAGUUUGGCGUAAAAGGAGACCUCAACAAAUGAGAACGCUUGGGCACCCUCUUUGGCAUCUCAGCAGGAUCCUGUGAAUCUCCAACCGAAGCUGUGUUCUCUAAAGCGUCAUCAACUCUAACCUCACCUUCCUUCUCCAAAGCAUCAUCAUCUACAACCUCAUCUGUCUUGUCCACAACAGCUUUUUCCGCAGCAGCCUUCUCAAAUCUCUCUGCAGUGUCUGCCAUAAUUUGAAGUGUAGAUUGCUCAUCUCCAUCUUCAGUAUCUACAUUGAACAAAAAUACAUCCUGACUUAGAUCAUCAUCAUUAAAAAUAAAAUUUGAAGUUAUAUGUUAUCAUGACUUACCUUGCAUCAACUUCUCAGCCUCUACCUCGAUAUGUUUCUCACCAUCCUUCUCAGCCUCUGCCUCAAUCUGUUUCUCACUAUCCUUCUCAGCCUCAUCACCCUUGUCAGCCUCUGCCUCAAUCUGCUUCUCACCAUCCUUCUCAGCCUCAUCACCCUUGUCAGCCUCUGCCUCAAUCUGCUUCUCACCAUCCUUCUCAGCCUCAUCACCCUUGUCAGCCUCUGCCUCAAUCUGCUUCUCACCAUCCUUCUCAGCCUCAUCACCCUUGUCAGCCUCAUCACCAUCCUCACCCUCCUUAUCAGGCUCAUCAUCACCAUCCUUAUCAGCCUUAUCACCAUCCUUGUUAGUCUCAUCACCAUCCUUAUCACCAUGUAUCUCACCCUCCUUAUCACCAUGCAUCUCGCCCUCCUUAUCACCAAGUAUCUCAGCCUCCUUAUCACCAUACAUCUCGCCCUCCUGGAACGACCAACUUUCUCUCUGGAUUUUUUCUUCUUCCAACUCCUUUACUCUUGCUUCCAGAAGACGAAUUGUUUCGUCUCUCAAUGCAAAUCCAUCAUCCAUUCUUUUGUUCAACUUCAACUCUAAUUCUCUUAAACUCUCACGACCUGCUUCGCCCCCUGUUUGAACUCCUGCCUCACCCCCUGCCUCGCCUCCUGCCUCGCCUCCUGCCUCUCCUCCUGCCUCGCCUCCUGCCUCGCCCCCUGCCUCGCCUCCUGCCUCCUCUUGUUGCUCUCGGGUUCUCACAUCCAUCUCAUAUAGAUCCGGCCAGAAGAUUUUUUUCCCUGGUUCCAUUAGGAUCUUGUUCCAACUGUCAACAGCUAUGUCUAGCGUAUCCGAAUCAUCUAUCAGCUCCAAGUCUUCAAAAGUCCCUUCAUCCAUUAUUUCAUACAAAAGGUCUACUUCAUUUCCUUUUGGUUCCAAAACACUGAUAAUCUCCUGAAAUGACCAACAACAAAUUACACAUUUAAUUAACUAUGAACUUGAAGAAAAUGACAUAAACAACACUUAAAAAAAUUAUAAGCUUUUACCUUUGUGUUUCCUAGCGUCCGAUAAAUCAUGUCAAGUGGAAAUCCUGUUGUUCCGGUCCUCUUGAACUUCCAUUUGCACAUUCUUGGACAACCAUCAAAACAGUUUGGAACAGGCUCUCUGAAUCUUUCCCUAAGGACAGGGAUACAUUCAAAUGCUAAUAUCUGCACAUCAUUUCACACAAUCACUUUAGUUAUAUUAUAACAAAUAUGCUUAUGAAAAAUGUUAUUCAUAUACCUCCAAAGGGUUGAUAAACCCAGGAAAUACCCACUGUGCAUGCUCUGGGAUCCCAUCACGAAAAUGAUCCCUUACAUGAAAAAUCUCCUUCAUGCAAUCAUCAAAGGUGUAACGGCCCCAUGGAAAUUCGGUGCAAAACUCCAAAUCUUCUACUGCUUGGAGAAGGAAAUACUCAAUGAAGUAUCCUGCUUUGGACCUUCCUCUUAAAACUGUAGCCAGAAAGUAAAGAACCGCCAUCCUCAGACGAUCGCCACUACCAUCAAAUUUCAUCUUCUGAAGUUUCUCCUUAACAUCCGCUUCUGUCACUUGCAGACCCUUUUCCUUCCCAUCCUUUGUCUUCUUCACUUUAAAAUACUUUCUCGCAAACUUCAGUCUCCCUAUGCUCUGAUAGUUUUCUGGAUAUGAGUGGCAGUAUAAACCAGAGAGGAGGCUAUGUUCCCUGAUAGAGUAUCUAAUUGGAACACCGUUUACCCCAAACCAAGCUUGUCGACCCUUCUCUGUAUGCAUAGUACGAAGUAGCAACAUCCACAAUCCCAUCACUUUUCUUGUUGAGGUACAAUCCAUGUGGAAUAUAUGCUUGAACUGAGGAUGUUCCUGAAACCAACUCUUCUCUGAGGCAUCCAACUUACCAAUCGUCUUGUUCAGAAAAUCGUGUUGAUGGCACCUUGAGGAGAGCUUGCAACCCUUUCCAUAGUUGCUCGGAUUGAAGAAAAAACCAGCAGGUCUGUCAGCUUCUACGGUCAUAUCAUCACUCUCAACCUGAAAAAUACAAACAAAAUACAAAGAAUAAAUAACUGAGUUAUACAACACAUAAACACUUAGUUGUACCAGUUACACUAAUUAAAUUAAAAAUAAUAUUACUAGUUCUACCAGCAAGCCUAGUUAUACAACAACAACACCAUCUCAUUAAACAGUUAUACAAAAUACUUCUCUAGUUAUACUAGUCAGACUACGUAUAAGAAGCGUAGUUGUACCAGUUAUAUUACUUAUAAAAAAAAAUUUACUAGUUAUCCUGAAUUUGUUUACAACAUAUUAUUACCAGUUGCACCAUUUUCACUCUUUUAGUUGUACUAGUAAUUUAAUACUCGGUUGUAUUAGUUAGACUAAUUAUACUUUUCAUAGUUAUACCAGUUAUAUUAGUUAUAAGAAGUGUGGUUGUACUAGUUAUACUAGUUCCAUUGAUUCUGUUUUACAACAUUUUAUUACCAGUUGAACUAGUUUCAUUCUUUUAGUUGUACUAGUUACACUUCUUAUAUAAUCACUACUUAUUUUUUUUUUCGACCCUAUGAUAAAUAUUUCUAGAACCAUUUAAGUUGACUUGUUUACCGUUCUUGGAGCGUCGUUGUCAAUGGCAGCAGAUCCAAUAGCAGCCUCAUGUGAAUUUGAAUCUAUGUUGUUAGAUCCAAUCUGCUCACGGUUCCUAUUUGUUAGUCCAAUUUUAUCAUAAAAAUUCCAAAACCAUUUUAAUUGAUUUGUUUACCGUUUGCCCGUCAUUGUUAAUGGCAGCCUCGGGUGAGCCUGAUUCUCUGUUGGUAGAAGUUAUUGGAGCUUGCAGUGGAUUCUCCGCCUCAUUGGGUGUUUGAGUAGGUGAUUUUUGUGGCUCAAUCGGAACUGAUGGGCUUGGCGUACCCUCUCUAUCAUCCUGCGAAGGUAACUCCGUUGAUAGUGGCGGAUAAUGAUCAGGAUCGGCUUGAUGUUCUGGUGAAGAUGCGGUCUGAGGCCGCUUGGUUGGAUUGGACGAGGACUCAUCGUCUACACCACUGUCUCGCUUCCUCUUCUUCUCUGCGGUUUCAAUCUUCUUUUUCUCUGCAUCUCUUUUUUUUUUAACGGCUUCUCUCCUCCUUUUCACCGCUGCUUGUUUUUUCUUUAUCACAGAGUCUUUCUUCUUCUUUUCCGCCUCAGCUUUCUUCUUCUCCACCGCAGCUUUCUUCUUCUCCACCACUGACUCAUUCUUCUUCUUCUUCUCCGGCGCACCUUCUUUGUUCGUUUGUUCGGUGAAACGAGUCUUUGGAGCCAUAGUGUUUCAAAGAGUAACACGAAAUAGAGAAACAAAUGAGAUAGAGGGAGAUCGUGAUGAUUGUGGUAGAGUUUGAUUAGUGAGAUGAGAUAGAGGGAAGGGGGAGAGAUCGUGAAUUUUUUUCUGUUGGUUAUGUCGGGGAAGAGGAAUUAGGGAUUUAGUUUGAUUUAGGGGGAAGGAUCCGGGAAGGGCACGCGGGUCGGGUUAGUGGGUGGGGUAGGUUGGUUGGAUAUGUAAAUAAGUUAAAGUUUUAGGUUUUAUAGUAUUUUCAGCUUAAUUUCGAUUUAUUAUUAAUUCAUUAAAAAAAUAAAAACAGAAGUGUCCUUUUCCAGAUUUUUGUGUGCCCAUUUGGUCGAUCUCAGCAUUUGAUUCCAUCUAAUCCCACUUCAUAUCUAUAUAUAUAAAGUAGAGUUACUCUCUCCUGUGAGAGCGCCACGUCAUCAAAUUCUGUGAGGAGAAGACGACGCGUGUCACUCCGUUUGCGUUGAGUUUCGUUUGUCUCGAUCUUUUGUUUAAAGUUGGGCCAAACUAAACAUCAUAAAGCCCAAUAUUGUUAGAAGUUCAGUACACCGUCUAACCUCUGCUUCAUCUCCGUUAGCCUGACCUGCGCCGUAAUGUCAGAAAGAUGUUCUAUCGACUCCCACCGAAGAUACGGAGGCGUAACGAUUGUCGAUUGGAUUCACUCAACACAUUUAAUGUUGUCUUUAACGCCACUGAACCUCUCCUCCCAUGACUCCUCCUCUCUCAAUGGUUGCUAAUCUACACCUAUAAAAAGGGAGUUCGAUUCUGUAAAGUCCAUCACUUUCUUCUUCUCAUUUUUUAUUAUCCACACAAAUCCACACACCCAGAGUGGCAACCUCUUCCCAUCUGCUCGCCGACUUGAAAGCAUACUCUGUAUAUUCAUAAAAUUUGUAUAUGUGCUCUCUCUCUCUCUCUCUUUUCAUCUCAACUAUGUUACUCUGUUUUGAUAUUUGUUUGAUCCAGUGUUAUAUCUAAUUCUUCAUCUCACUUCCAGUAACCGGUAAGGAGAGAUGAAGCAUAUAAAUAAUUAGUUCAUCAAUCAGUGGAAUUGGCACAUCAAUCCAUCUUCUUCCACUGUCUUGAAUUGGCAUAUAGAUAGAUAUUGACCUAACACUUCUCUGGUCUUAAAGAAGUAUCCUAACCUUAUAAUAGAUUUGACUCGAGUCUGAAACAACUUUGUGUGUAUGAAAUUGAUGCAGGUGAAAGUACCCGGAGAUAUCAGUAGAAAUAACAAAUAUAUGGAGUCAAUUUGGGAGCUGCAUUGGAUGAGAUGUGAAGCAGUAAUUAGGGGGCUUAUACAGGAGACGGGGCAGUACUAGAAAGCAGCUUUUUGUGCAAUUACAACAUUGUAAGUAGUUUCGUUAUGUCUUGCCAUAUCUAUAUUUAAUUAGUAGUACACAAACCAACGAUGAAAAAUGAAGAUUCAAGCAUUUUUUUUUAUUUUUUAUUAAAAUUUAUAGUUUUUUUUUAUAAGAGUAGUCUCUCAUGUUUAGUGUUUUCACUGGGUUAAGUGUGGAUUUUAGAAAUUGUUCUGUAGGGAUGAUGAGUACUUUUGUAUAUUUCUCUAUGAUUAUGUUUUGAAAGUGGAUUUAUUGAGUGACGUUUUGGGUGUUUGGGUUUUCACGGUAGUAGAAUGCAAUGGUGGAUUUUUGUUGGUUGGGAACGGUAAAGAAAAAGUUGAAGCAGAAACAAUGUAACAUCUGACCCUGGAGAUCAUUGGGGCUGGGAAGAAGAAGCUUUAUGAAGCAAAAGUGUAGGUGAAGCCAAGGUUGAACUUGAAGGAGUUGCAGGAGUUCAAGCCUGCCGGUGAUGCUGCCCCUACCAUCACUCCUUCCUAUCUUGGCUGCAAAUAAGGUAUGACUACAAGCAUUACAUAGACGUAUGAAAAACAAAGAUUGAUCUAGAUUACCUUAUUAGAGGAUUGUUGUUCUUCUGCAUACUACAUACACGGACAUUGUCAAAGAAUUUGGUAUGAUCUGACUGGUUAAAAUAUACUGUUUCACCCAUAUUUCAGCAAAGGAGUUCAAAAUGAUCUCACCCCGAGAAAGUCAUCUAUAAAGCUGAUUGAUCCUAAGCGAGCUCACCAAAUUAGCAGAAGCGGUAGAUGAGGUAGAUGAAGAGAGCAAAGUAGAGACAGUAAUGGUGACAAUGAUCUCUUUACAGAGUGUACGGAAAUAGUGGCAGUGACUACAUCAGCAAAUACUCCAAAAAGAAGUGGAUGACUUCAACGUACCAAGCUUUUGUGUUUCCAUGUCCAACAGUGUAUGAAUUUUCGUUUGUCAUUCGUUUUUUCUUAACUUUAUAAAAAAUUCCUUUUUUAUUAUAUGUUUAUGGUUUUCGAAAAUUUAAAAAAGGAAAUUAAAUUAAUAAAUAAAUCAUAGAAUUUUAAAUGUAAUAUUUUUAAUUCAUUAAAGUUGUCAAUGUAAUCAACCAUUGUUAGAGUUAACGGGAGCACGACACAUAGGAAACUGACUUUUCAAAUAAUAUUAUAGAGAUAAGUUAUGGAAAAACAUAAUUACAAAAAAUUGGGUAAUUCUCUCAAAUAGUCCUUUUUAGGUUUUUGUCACAAAGAUAGCAUUCAAAAAAUAAAAUGACCAAAUAACUCUUUUUUAUUUUGAAAUUUUUAAUAUUUAUUUUUAUUUUUUUACAAUCAUAUCUAUUUAUCCAAAUAGAUGAAGAUAAAAUUAUAGGAUCUUUGACAUUGUAUGCGUACAAGAAGCAUACAACUUUUAAAUGUACACAUGUGUUUAACUUCUAUUGUUUUUAACACCAAAAAAACUUCUAUUGUUUUAGUUAUAAUUUACCUAUUUCUUUUAUACAGUUAUAUUUUACACAAUCACGAAAUUUUAUUUAGACAAUAAAUAUACUAUUUAGAAAAUUAGGAUCAUAUAUUUACAUGCAGUGAUAGCCAAUAAAACAACAUAACUAAAUAUCUAACAAAAUACAAUAAUUUUUAAAGCAUUAGGAGAUGAGUAAAUUUUGACAUUUUGAAAAACUAAAAACAUUUAUAUAUGAUAUGCAUUUUACCAUUUACAUAUAUGUAUCAUAAAUAUAAAUACUAUAAUAAAUUUAAUUAGAAAAAUAAAUAAAAUUCCCGGGCGUAGCCCGGGCUUGCCCUAGUUUUACAUUAAAAAGAAGUUUGAAAUCAGAAAUGCUUCUUUUUUCAAAAAAAGAAAGAAAGAAAUGCUUCAACUUCACUCCAUUUUUCAUUUUAUAAUAAAGUAAAAUUGAAUUUACUACAUAAAUGGAAUAAUAUUUUUUGUUCAUUACUCCAAAAUAAAAUAAGGCCAGGAUAAAAUAAAUUUUAUUAUGAAGUUGCUAUAUUUUAAAAGAAGAAAAGUAGAAUUUUAUAUUGGAAAUGCUGUUAGAUACAAGUUUGUGACCAACUAUUGUUGUUCCUUUGAAACGCAAUACAUACAAAGUUGAGCAAAGCUUACUUAACCUGUUAAUUUAAUAUUAAAGUUGGAAGUAAUAUUAGUUUGUAUGGUCUAAUUAUAUUCCAAAUAUUUCUACAAUUUAGGUAGAUCGAUAAUAUACUUCGGUUAUUGUAUUCAUUUGAAUAGUUUUUUCUGAAAAAAGCACAAAACUAUAUGCCAGGCGAAAUAUACAAAUUAGAUGAAUAAUGGGCGGUGGUGACAUACGAUAAAGAGAAACCCUUCUCGACUGUCACCGUCACCGAUUGUUAUGUUCAUUGGUCCACAUGGGUCGGCUUUGUUGUUGUAUAUCGGCUGCUGCAUCAGCAAUAAUUUGCAAUCAAUAAAGUAAAAGAAUCAAAUCAUUUGCACAUAAACAUAAAGUAAGAGAAUCAUCUUUUAUUUUAAUUUUAAUAACGAAAAAUGUUAAAACAAUAUCAAAUAUGGAAAACUGAAAGUUUUCUAUAUAACUGAUCUUAAAAGUAGGAGUUAUUUUCUUUUUAGAACUAGUUUUUCAGUUGUUUAGUUUUUAGUGGUUGAUUUAGCAUAUAUUCCGAGUACUGUUGCUUUAUAAUUCGAAUCAUGAUCAGCUUGGGAUCAAACGGCGAGAGGGGAAGAAGAGAGUAAAGCAAAGUAAGAGACAAAAUAUUUUUAUCUUCUUUUAAAACUUGUUAAGAUGGAGAUGAAGGAAACAAAACAUGUAAUGAAAUUGAUUAAAUAUUGAACCGAUAUGUCUUAGAUUUUGUUUGUACAAUUCGAUUUGUUUCGUUUUUUUUCUUCUGAGUUUUGCUUGCAAACGAAACAAAAUUCAAAAAGAACAAAAGUACAGCUUAGGCAUAUGUCUUAGCUUUUGUUGUACAACUCGACAAGUCAUUUUGUGCAGUUUUUUCUGAGUUUUGCUUGCAGAUUUUUUUCAUCUUCCUAUCGUGUAACGAAACAAAAUUCGAAAAGAACAAAGUACAAAGCCAAUGUUUGAGUUGUUAAGGUUUCUGUAACCUUAUAAAGAGCUUGGCACAAACAUAAAGCAAAGAAGAAGUGUUUAGUUCAGCUUGGCACAUAAAAAAAAAGAAGUGUUUGGUCAAGGCUAUAAAAAUAGGAUACACACUUUCAACUAAAAUACCUUUCUACGUACAAUAUAUAAAAUGAAAGAACAUCUAGUAACAGUGUCAAGGCCGCAUGGGUGCUUAGAUUAUAACUCUCUUUGUUAAAAUAUUAAGAAAGUGGUGAGAAAGUUUAAUAAAACAAAGCAGGAAAAAUGGUGAGUAUAAUUUGAUUCUUGGGUUUUUGGUUACCACUUCACUAGUUUAAACCAGCAAAAUACUUACGAACGGUCUUAAAUAAUUAAUAAAUUCAAAGACAGCAAAGAAUUAACGAGUAAGAUAAGUCCAGUUUAUAUCAUACAUUCAUCUAUCUUACAAACUAACAAUGUUAUAACCUAAAACAUAAGCAAGCAAUACUUGAGCAUAUACUCAUAAAUUUCCCAAAUACAAAAUAAAAAAAUGCCUAAUAAGAAUGUGAUUUUUUUAACAAAAUGAAUAUUUUUUUCUUUCUUUUACGAACAAUCGAAUGAAAAACAGAGAGUAAAAUGUCUGAUCGUAUGAUGAUUUAGAGCUCAUCAUGGGAUUGACUUGAAGACCAACAUGAUGAUGAUGAGCUAAGACUCUCGAGCCAGACUUCAUCAGCAAGAAGUGUGUUGGAGUCAUUGUUUCUAUGCCACGACCAAUGUGCUCGUUUUCCGUCUAUAACCUUCAAUCUCCCAUGUCCAAAACUCGAUUCGCGGAAUACCGAUAAUGGCGAAGGAGGUUUCUUAAACCUGUAAUUCGAGUGAAAAAUAUGGAAAUUAAGAACCAUAAAAAGAACAAGAGUCUUGAGUUUAGAUUAAAUGAUAGAAGGUGACAUACGAAGUAGCAAGGCCUUCUCGGUUGCCUCCGUCACCAAUGGUUAUGUGUAUGGGUCCACAUUGAUCAGCCUUGUUGUUAUAUACCCGCUUCUGCAUCAAUCAGAAUUCGCCAUCAAUAUAAGUAACAAUAAUUAUCUUUGUUUGAAAAAUGAAGAUGGGUACUUACGAAACGUUCGUAGGCAUGAACAUGGCCGGCAAAAACGACGUCCACACGAGCAUUAAAUAGCAAAGACUCCAUAGCUUCCCUCAUGCUCUCUCCUUCACCUUCAUGCGCUUCGUUCGUGUUGUACCAAGGCGCGUGCAGCAACACUAUCACCCACGGUGUCGUUUUCCGGUCAACCUUUUGAAAUGAUAUUAAAAAAAAUAAUUAACAAAAAAUCUAAUUCUUAAGAAUUGAUAGAAAAGUUUGAAAUAAUGUGAAUUUAGGCAAUGUAUUCUUUUCACUAGUUUAUAAAAUAUGAUGUUUUGUUAUUUUACAAACAUUCUAAAAGUAAAAUAAUAUAUAUUUAUCAAUUUCAAUUGGAUAUAGUCUUAAAUAAUUACUAUGAUUUGAAUGAAUUCAUUACGUUGGUUAAAUAAUAAAUUUACCUGAAAGACGAUAAACUAUUUUUUGAUCCAGAUAUAACUUUUGAAAAGAUUUUUUUUGUGAAAGUGAUGAAAUGAUUGUAUACUAAACAUUGCAUAAUCCCGCAACUAACCUUUGCUAAAUCGGCUUGGAGCCACUGAUACUGAUCGGAAUCACAAUCAAAGUCGGUGUAAGAACCAAGCAUAACCGUGUGGACACCAGCGACAUCAAAAGAGUAGUAAAGGUUGGACUCAGAGAGGCUCUCAGUGUAAGGCAUGAGCCACCGGGAAUUGUAUGACUUGAAGGUUGUGUGUUCAAUGAUUGGGAAGAAUUCAAUCUCGUGGUUUCCCUGAGUAACCAUCCAAGGACGCUUGCUCGCGAGUGGCUCCACCAGGCGACCAAAGGAGUCCCAAAGUGGUUGAUUAGUGUCAGCGUAGGAGAGAUCGCCAGGAAGUAGAAAAACGUCGUAGUCUUGGCUCUUUAUCUGAGCUAGUGUUGCUGCUGUCCAUUCGGUUUGGCCUAGAUCGCCUUCAAUUUAGAGAAGAGAGUACUCUUAAGGAUAAAGGUAAAGGCUGGACUUCCAUUUUGGCUCCUCUUCCAGCGUGUCUUACUUCUCAUAUCUUUUUCAUUUUACGCACAUUUUUUGUAAUUCUCUUAUUACAUUAAAAUGAUCAUACAAUUAGAAUCAGUAUCAGCUAAAAAGAAUGAGUCACGUUUGAAAAAAAAUAUCCGACAUACUAGGAGUUAAAGAAAUUCCACAAUCAAUGGUUUUGAAUUUCUAUUGUUUUUUUCGAGAAAAUUGUUUUUUUUUUGUUGUUACUUAAAAUAUUACUUUUAUUAUAUUUUUAUCAGUUUCCAUCUUUUUUUAUUGUUACUAAAGCACCAGGCAACUUAUAACUAUAUGAUGUUCAUUACUUUCAUCUUACUCAUUUAGGAUUUACAUUUUCUUCUAGUAACAUCUCUUAUAUCCAGUAUUCUUGAAUUCCAUGCUGGCUUGGCUUGCAUCAUGCAGAUAUGACUACUUUCACCAGGUAAAAGCGUGAAGACAAAUAAUUGUUCCCCCACUAAUAAACAUUCCUAACACUAUCUUAGGAUACUUAAUUCUAAACCAACCCAAUCAAAGGAUUGCGUGCAUCAUUUCGCCCACCCUUCAAGCAUCAAAUUGAUCAAUUAUUAGAGGUUUUAUAUGUAUUUUUAUUUUAAUUGGACCGUCCAAAUGUUUUCUAAAAAAAACUCUGAUAAGUUGUCGAAACGAGUGGUAAAUUCGAGACCAAGUUGACAUAAAGAAGAAAGAUCCCAAGUGGUUCUUCCAAGGUAUCAACACGGUACAAUUUAUUAAUAACGCACACGGUGUAAAGUUUGACCCAUCUAAUGAGUUUUAUUUCUGGUGAGGAAAAGGACUUUAUUUUUGUAGGAAAAAAACAUUCAACCAUAAAAUUAAAUGAAAAUACUAUAUGAACCAAAUAAGUGACACCACCAUGACGACAUUUAAUCACUAGUAUAAGAUUUGAUCGUCUAAUAGAACUAGUACGUGUCUAGUAAUAAUUAUUCUCUUAUUUAUGAAAUCAAAUGUUUUUAAGAUAAUUUAUUUAUGUGUUUCCAGUUAAAAGUUAUUUAAAUAAAAUAUAAUUAAUCUGUAAUACAUAAAGCAUUAGUUUUAUUGUUUAGAAAAAGUUAGCGUAAUAUAAAAUUAAUAUAUGAAUGAAACGAAAUACCGUUAUCUUUCUAUUUAAUUCCCAGCAGCGUUGUCUCUGUUUUCGCCGUUGUUUCCUUUCUUCUCUCUCUCUCUCUCCUUUUGCUCUGCAUAUAUUGUCUCCCUUCCCGAUUCAAUCGUUUCUAGAAAAAAUCAAAAUAAGUGAAUCAUCUUUCUUCAUCUCUCUCAAGAACAGGUAAACACAACCUCUCUCAUCCGCUCCUUCCUUUUCUCCUAUCUUCUCUGUAUUAUUUUCCUUUUAAUAAACUCUCCUUCUCCUCUUCUUUUCCAUUUCUUUUUAUUUUACAAAGAAAGCGGAGGAAAAUUUUCUGAAUUUUUCUUCGCUUUUAGUACCCAUCUUUGGUUUUAUUACAAGAUUCUGGUUCGUGUUUUGUUCUUCCUUUUAUUAAUUCUGUAAAUUAAUUAAUCUUUUAAUCGAUUUUUUCCAGAUUUUCGACGAGCUUGAUCGAUCUAAAUUCUCAAGAUCUAUGGCGGAAGAGCAUCGAUGUCAGACGCCGGAAGGCCACCGUCUCUGUGCUAACAACUGCGGCUUCCUCGGCAGCUCCGCCACCAUGAAUCUCUGCUCCAAUUGCUACGGCGAUCUAUGCCUUAAGCAACAGCAACAAGCCUCCAUAAAAACCACCGUCGAAUCCUCUCUCUCCGCCGUAUCUCCUCCGUCGACGGAGAUCGCUUCCGUCUCUUCUCCGGUGAUCUCGCCUCUCGUUCAGAACCCAUCAGCUGAACUGGAGGUAACGACGAAAAACGUUCCGGCGACGUUGACUCCGCCGACGUCGCAGACGACGGCGGAGGAGAAGCAGCUGAAACGGCCGAAUCGCUGCACGACGUGCAGGAAACGGGUCGGGUUAACCGGGUUUAAGUGCCGGUGCGGGACGACUUUCUGCGGGGUCCACAGGUACCCGGAGGUCCAUGGAUGCACCUUCGACUUCAAAUCGGCUGGUCGUGAAGAGAUCGCGAAGGCGAACCCGUUGGUCAAAGCGGCGAAGCUUCAGAAGAUUUGAUCCGAGCCGUUCGAUGCGUUGACUUUUCUGUCUUCAUGUAAACGCGUCCGUCUCGGAGUAAUCAGGAUGGUGUGAGAUUGAUCUCAGCCGUUCAUCAUGGGUCAUUAUGUAAAAGAUAUGUAUUAUCAAUGGACACGUGUCACGUGACGCUUCCAUCUUCCC
RNAcentral lists this long non-coding RNA (18465 nucleotides) under Brassica napus (rape). RNAcentral's name for it is "long non-coding RNA (BNAP_LNC008169)". The record is from RNAcentral. Lineage: Eukaryota; Viridiplantae; Streptophyta; Magnoliopsida; Brassicales; Brassicaceae.